UGCCGGCAUAGCUCAGCUGGUUAGAGCGAGGGAUUCAUAAGCCCUAGGUCGCUGGUUCGAAUCCAGCUGCCGGCAU
This 76-nucleotide transfer RNA is filed under the name Mucisphaera calidilacus. RNAcentral describes it as "Planctomycetes bacterium Pan265 tRNA-Met". It matches the Rfam family "tRNA". Rfam says of the family: Transfer RNA (tRNA) molecules are approximately 80 nucleotides in length. Their secondary structure includes four short double-helical elements and three loops (D, anti-codon, and T loops). Lineage: Bacteria; Pseudomonadati; Planctomycetota; Phycisphaerae; Phycisphaerales; Phycisphaeraceae. The record is from RNAcentral.